UCCAGAGCUACAGAGUUUGUGAACUCCUGUCGACAUCAUGGCUGAAGGUGGCGACUGGGGUGGUAAUUCAGUGGCCUCUAUAUCAAAGAAACAAAAAGGUGUGAUAUUUACUCAAGUGGGCAAUUUCCUCAAAAGUCUUUGGCCAGGCACCUCAUCAAAGAAAGAUGGUCAGAACACAGGAACAAUGACAGAAAAGCAAAGUGGGAUUAAGAGCGGAGCCUAAAUGGAAUGUGAAACCGCUGAAGAGGAAGGGGAACAAUGUCCGUCCAGAGGGAGAGGAAUAGGAGACGUGGUUCACGGCCCUGGAACUGACCCAAGUGGCGAAAUCCAUCAUGACCGAAAUUCUUCAAACAAGGAAUAAUCGAGUCUCAUUCAAGGAGCAGGUGAGUGAAAUGGGAGGGGAGUGGAUGCUGCAGAAUGGUGAAGACUGUAGGGACAGGG
This is a long non-coding RNA of Amblyraja radiata (thorny skate), 441 nucleotides long. RefSeq lists it as uncharacterized. Lineage: Eukaryota; Metazoa; Chordata; Chondrichthyes; Rajiformes; Rajidae. The transcript has 2 exons. The record is from RefSeq and is a predicted model, not a curated record.